This 668-nucleotide unclassified non-coding RNA is filed under the name Tritirachium cinnamomeum. Its description in RNAcentral is "sequence contains 18S rRNA gene, ITS1, 5.8S rRNA gene, ITS2, 28S rRNA gene". The stretch from base 263 to 416 matches the Rfam family "5.8S ribosomal RNA". Lineage: Eukaryota; Fungi; Basidiomycota; Tritirachiomycetes; Tritirachiales; Tritirachiaceae. The record is from RNAcentral.
GAUCAUUAUUGAAGCAAAAAUAUAUAGUCUUGGAUUUGUAAAAGAAUCCAAGCUAUUUAUAUUCUUCUAUAAACCCACUGUGAACCAAUUAAGAGACUAAAGUAUAUCCCUCACGGGACUACUUCUGUUUCGCUUUAAUCGGACAGAAUACAUGUAAUGUGUAUACUGGUCGAGGACGAACCAAUUUGUUUUGGUCGGCCGAAUUACCUUUUUAAAUUCAAAAAGAUGAAGAGAAUGACAAGAAAUUUGAUAAACAAAUUAAAACUUUCAGUGACGGAUCUCUUGGCUCUCGCAUCGAUGAAGAACGCAGCAAACUGCGAUACGUAAUGUGAAUUGCAGAAUACAGUGAAUCAUCGAAUCUUUGAACGCACCUUGCGCUUUGGGGUACUCUCCAAAGCAUGCCUGUUUGAGUGUCAUGUUAACUCUCAAAAAUUACAUAUUAAUUUAUUAGUGUGUGAUUUUUGGAUCAUGGCUGUUUGCUGGUUAUUUGUUUAAUCGGCUCAGCUGAAAUUGAAUAGCUGACUUGUUAUUUCUUGAGAAGUUAAGAAGUUUGUCAGAAUCUUCGGCGUGAUAAUUUGUUACGCAGUUUUUCUGACAAUAUAAACGACUUUAUUUCAAAGGAUAUAAGAAAAGUUGCUUCGAACUUUUAUUAUUACUAUAAUCUAGAC